This is a long non-coding RNA of Bos taurus (domestic cattle), 1319 nucleotides long. Lineage: Eukaryota; Metazoa; Chordata; Mammalia; Artiodactyla; Bovidae. The record is from Ensembl.
UGGAGACGUGGGUUCAAUCCCUGGGUGAGGAAGAUCCCCUCAAGAAGGAAAUGGAAACACACGUCAGCAUUCUUGCCUGGAGAAUUCCACAGACAGAGGAGCCUGGUGGGCCCCAGUCCACGGGGUCACAGAGUCGGACACAACUAUACAGGAGGAGAGACAAGUGUGCAUAUGAGGACAGGUCACGUUCACAGUAUCUGCAGGACAUCAAAAAUGGAGACAUCCCGGAGGCAGUCAGGUGUGGCGGCCUGGAGGGUGAGUCUUCACAGACCUGGAGGCUAUCAGGGCACGUGAUGGCAACAAAGCUGACGAUGAAGGGCUUCCCUGGUGUUCGUGAGACUCUGAGCUCCCAGAGCAGGGCGCCCAGUCUGCAUCCCUGCUUGGGAAACUCGAUCCCACGUGAACAUCUAAGAGUCCACACACCGCAGGUAAGACCCCGCCGCGCAAUGGAGACUGAGUAUCCCACACUCCACAGUUAGGACCUGGUGCAGCCAAAUAAACAUUAAAAAAAAAAAAAAAGCUGGGAGUGAAUAAGACCAGCGGGUGUCAGCCUUGGGGUAAAUCUUAGGAUCUAGAAAAGAGCAGCCAAGGCCAGGGCCCGGGGCACAUGGACACUGGGAAACAGCGAAUCCAAACGGGAGAGGAAGCGGGGGCCAUCUGCGGGCCGCGGAGGUGCUGGGGCUCCAGGGAGGCCUGCUGGCCAUCUGCGGGCCGCGGAGGUGCUGGGGCUCCAGGGAGGCCUGCUGGCCAUCUGCGGGCCGCGGAGGUGCUGGGGCUCCAGGGAGGCCUGCUGACCUGGAGUCCAUGGGGAGCUGGGCUUUCCCAGACUCCGCACGUGGAGAGACACGAUUGUGCAGAAAGGCCUAAGGAACACACACAACAAACAAGAAAACAAACUCUUGGAGCUUACAGAUGAGUUUUGAGUUUACCAAAGCCAGAAGAUACAAGGUUAACACAGCAAAAAUCAAUCAUCACGUCCACACAAUAGGAAUGAACAACUAGAAACCAAAACUUAGAGCACAGUAUAGUUACAAACUCUCCAAAAAAGAAGACACGCAGGUCUAACAGCAGCAACAACAACAUGUACAGCUCUGAAUGCUGAAAACUACAAGAUGCUAAUGACCAAAAUCGAAGAUAACCGUAUAGAUAGAGAGACACACCAGGUUCAUGGACUGGGAAACUCAACAUAGUUAAGAUGUCAAUUCUCCCAAAUUCUAAAGAAAUUCUUAUCAAAAUCCUAGCAGGAUUCUUCUUCUCAGCUGCUUCUAAAAGGUAAAUAGAAAGAUGAAGGAACUAGAAUAGUCGAAGCAACUUUAAAA